Triticum aestivum (bread wheat) is the source of this 124-nucleotide non-coding RNA. NCBI's taxonomy places the organism in Eukaryota, Viridiplantae, Streptophyta, Magnoliopsida, Poales, Poaceae. The record is from Rfam.
CAACUACUCCCUCUGUCCCAAAUUUCUUGUCUUAGAUUUGUCUAGAUACGGAUGUAUCAAGUACUUGAUACAUCCGUAUCUAGACAAAUCUAAGACAAGAAUUUUGGGACGGAGGGAGUAAUUU